Molecule: ribosomal RNA, 253 nt
Filed under: uncultured bacterium
Lineage: Bacteria
Description: partial 16S ribosomal RNA
Rfam family: Bacterial small subunit ribosomal RNA
Source: RNAcentral
UACGUAGGGUGCAAGCGUUAUCCAGAAUUACUGGGCGUAAAGCGUGCGCAGGCGGUUCGCUAAGACAGAUGUGAAAUCCCCGGGCUUAACCUGGGAACUGCAUUUGUGACUGGCGGGCUAGAGUAUGGCAGAGGGGGGUAGAAUUCCACGUGUAGCAGUGAAAUGCGUAGAGAUGUGGAGGAAUACCGAUGGCGAAGGCAGCCCCCUGGGCCAAUACUGACGCUCAUGCACGAAAGCGUGGGGAGCAAACAGG